This 68-nucleotide transfer RNA is filed under the name Marmota monax (woodchuck). It matches the Rfam family "tRNA". Rfam says of the family: Transfer RNA (tRNA) molecules are approximately 80 nucleotides in length. Their secondary structure includes four short double-helical elements and three loops (D, anti-codon, and T loops). Lineage: Eukaryota; Metazoa; Chordata; Mammalia; Rodentia; Sciuridae. The record is from Rfam by way of RNAcentral.
GUGGUGGCUCAGUGAUAGAGCACUUGCCUAGCAUGUGUGAGGCACUGGGUUCAAUUCUCAGCACCACA